UAGUCAUAUGCUUGUCUCAAAGAUUAAGCCAUGCAUGUCUAAGUAUAUACUCUUGUACGGUUGAACUGCGGAUGGCUCAUUAAAUCAGUUAUAGUUUAUCGAUGGUCACUUACUACAUGGAUAACCGUGGUAAUUCUAGAGCUAAUACAUGCGUAAAUCCCGAAAGGGAGUGCUUGUCUGAUUGAGAACCAAUACGGUUUCGGCCGUUUUCUGGUGAAUCAGGACAAAAGAACGAAGCGAUCUUCGGAUCGCUGCAUCAUUCGAGUUUCUGCCCUAU
Molecule: ribosomal RNA, 277 nt
Filed under: uncultured eukaryote
Lineage: Eukaryota
Description: partial 18S ribosomal RNA
Rfam family: Eukaryotic small subunit ribosomal RNA
Source: RNAcentral